RNAcentral lists this ribosomal RNA (494 nucleotides) under uncultured bacterium. RNAcentral describes it as "partial 16S ribosomal RNA". It matches the Rfam family "Bacterial small subunit ribosomal RNA", at positions 28 to 507 of the family's 1533-position model. The record is from RNAcentral.
GACGAACGCUGGCGGCGUGCUUAACACAUGCAAGUCGAACGGUGAAGCGCCUUCCUUUUUGGUGGGUGUGGAUGAGUGGCGAACGGGUGAGUAACACGUGAGUAACCUGCCCCCUUCUUCUGGAUAACCGCAUGAAAGUGUGGCUAAUACGGGAUAUUCUGGGUCUGUCGCAUGAUGGGUCUGGGAAAGAUAUUGUUUCGGUGGGGGAUGGGCUCGCGGCCUAUCAGCUUGUUGGUGGGGUGAUGGCCUACCAAGGCGGUGACGGGUAGCCGGCCUGAGAGGGUGGACGGCAACACUGGGACUGAGACACGGCCCAGACUCCUACGGGAGGCAGCAGUGGGGAAUAUUGCACAAUGGGCGCAAGCCUGAUGCAGCGACGCCGCGUGAGGGAUGGAGGCCUUCGGGUUGUGAACCUCUUUCGCCAGUGAAGCAGGCCUGCCUCGUUUGUGGGUGGGUUGACGGUAGCUGGAUAAGAAGCGCCGGCUAACUACGUG